GGGGUCCUAGUAAACAAAUUACAUAGUCUUGUCAGCACUAAAUUAUAGGCCCACCCCUAUGAACCCCA
This 68-nucleotide transfer RNA is filed under the name Meroles squamulosus. RNAcentral describes it as "tRNA-Asp". Lineage: Eukaryota; Metazoa; Chordata; Lepidosauria; Squamata; Lacertidae. The record is from RNAcentral.